This 318-nucleotide ribosomal RNA is filed under the name uncultured Klebsiella sp. RNAcentral's name for it is "bacterial SSU rRNA". It matches the Rfam family "Bacterial small subunit ribosomal RNA", at positions 885 to 1203 of the family's 1533-position model. Lineage: Bacteria; Pseudomonadati; Pseudomonadota; Gammaproteobacteria; Enterobacterales; Enterobacteriaceae. The record is from RNAcentral.
GCCGCAAGGUUAAAACUCAAAUGAAUUGACGGGGGCCCGCACAAGCGGUGGAGCAUGUGGUUUAAUUCGAUGCAACGCGAAGAACCUUACCUGGUCUUGACAUCCACAGAACUUUCCAGAGAUGGAUUGGUGCCUUCGGGAACUGUGAGACAGGUGCUGCAUGGCUGUCGUCAGCUCGUGUUGUGAAAUGUUGGGUUAAGUCCCGCAACGAGCGCAACCCUUAUCCUUUGUUGCCAGCGGUCCGGCCGGGAACUCAAAGGAGACUGCCAGUGAUAAACUGGAGGAAGGUGGGGAUGACGUCAAGUCAUCAUGGCCCUU